UAGGGAAUCUUCCACAAUGGACGCAAGUCUGAUGGAGCAACGCCGCGUGAGUGAAGAAGGUAUUCGGAUCGUAAAGCUCUGUUGUUGGUGAAGAAGGAUAGAGGUAGUAACUGGCCUUUAUUUGACGGUAAUCAACCAGAAAGUCACGGCUAACUACGUGCCAGCAGCCGCGGUAAUACGUAGGUGGCAAGCGUUGUCCGGAUUUAUUGGGCGUAAAGCGAGCGCAGGCGGAAGAAUAAGUCUGAUGUGAAAGCCCUCGGCUUAACCGAGGAACUGCAUCGGAAACUGUUUUUCUUGAGUGCAGAAGAGGAGAGUGGAACUCCAUGUGUAGCGGUGGAAUGCGUAGAUAUAUGGAAGAACACCAGUGGCGAAGGCGACUCUCUGGUCUGCAACUGACGCUGAGGCUCGAAAGCAUGGGUAGCGAACAGG
RNAcentral lists this ribosomal RNA (429 nucleotides) under Bacillota bacterium. Its description in RNAcentral is "Firmicutes bacterium partial 16S ribosomal RNA". It matches the Rfam family "Bacterial small subunit ribosomal RNA", at positions 355 to 776 of the family's 1533-position model. Lineage: Bacteria; Bacillati; Bacillota. The record is from RNAcentral.